RNAcentral lists this transfer RNA (77 nucleotides) under Bacillota bacterium. RNAcentral describes it as "tRNA-Arg". It matches the Rfam family "tRNA". From Rfam's summary of the family: Transfer RNA (tRNA) molecules are approximately 80 nucleotides in length. Their secondary structure includes four short double-helical elements and three loops (D, anti-codon, and T loops). Lineage: Bacteria; Bacillati; Bacillota. RNAcentral also lists the same sequence under 3 other names. The record is from RNAcentral.
GCGCCUGUAGCUCAGGUGGAUAGAGCAACGGACUUCUAAUCCGUGUGCCCGGGGUUCGAGUCCCUGCAGGCGCACCA